UAUUCGAGGCCUCAUGCACACACACACCAACAUUAAAACCCGUUUCAAAAACCGUUUUGGCUUCUUUAAACAAUUAGAGUAAAGGGAGGAAGUGGGACUGUGGGGGAAAGGAUUCAGUAAAAAUAGGUCACUUGGUCAUGAGACGUAUAAUUUCUAAACCAGAGGUUUGUUUGCUACAAUGUCCACAAGAGGGUGGUAUGCACCAAAAAGAAGACUCACACUUUUACUGUGAAGCAGAGGUGGAAAAAUCUAGGUUCAGAAAGCAAAAAUCCUCCCCAGUAUUUUGUUGCAAUCAAGUUGAUUUGCUAAUUAGCACAUCUUUCAACCAGGAGGUAAAACUAAUAAGCUGGUAAAGUUCAAGGGGGGAAGAAAUAUGACAGAGCUUUUUCUUUCUGUCCCCUGGACUUUCAACCUCUGCAGUUCAGACACUGCACAAGCACGAACGGGGUCCUGGAGUCACAGGCUCAACUGGGGGCCACAUAUAUCUGUAUUAUACAUUUCAUACAUUCAUAUAUGUGUAUUUUCAUGAAUAUAUUUAAUACAUUUUCCUACUAAUAGGAAACCCAGAUACCCCUAAAGAGGAGAAUGACAGUGAGGAGCUCCAAUACUUAAUAUUUUCCUUGACCACUCCCAGUUUGGACCCUCACAGACAACAACGGAGGCAGUUGAACCCCCAGUCUCAUUCUGAACAAGAAGAAAAUGAUAAAGUGAUCUAUGCAAGUGUCUGCAAAAUGUAGUAUGGAUAACAUUUCAAUGAUUCACAUGGAUAAAUGAAACAAAAAGCCUACAUUUAAAGUUGACAUUUGAAGUCUGUACAGCGCAACUGUGUCACAGAUGAAAAAAGACAAUCUGCAGAUCUUACCAAGAUCUGUUACUAUGUGAAUAUGCCACUGUUGCAUUCUGUUUUGCUAAAGGAAACUUUUACAUGCAUCUGAUAAUAUUUAGAUUUUGACUGUGAACAACACAGCUGUAUUCUGGAAAAUAUAUACAUUAGUAAGUUGUUUCUGUACUGUUUCUGUACUGUUUUUUGCAGUUUUAUUUUUUCUUUUUCUUGUGUACUCCGAUUUGUUGACUAAUUGAUGUAUGAACAGCAGGGAGUGAUAUUGUUCAAGAAAUAAGCAACAUAUUUAUGUACAGGGAAGUAGUGUCUGGAUAUGGCGGUGUGCUCUUCAGUGUGCUUUUAUCUGUUGUUAAGAAGUAUACUUUUUAUUUUUAGUAAUAAAACAGCUGUGAAAAAGAACUGCAUUAUUAAUUAUUAUAAGAACCAAAAAUAAAACAGUUAGUGACUGACA
This is a long non-coding RNA of Anguilla rostrata (American eel), 1292 nucleotides long. RefSeq lists it as uncharacterized. The record is from RefSeq and is a predicted model, not a curated record. The transcript has 4 exons. Lineage: Eukaryota; Metazoa; Chordata; Actinopteri; Anguilliformes; Anguillidae.